CACAUCUUCCUGGAGAAGGGGAGGGUGCGGCUGCAGAGAAUUGAGACUUAGAAGCUUUGAAUUCCUGUAUCUGAGAACGGAGUCGUUGGGGGUGGUGGAGGGGGUUGGAAUUGGGGACCUACGGAAGGUGAGGAUCAGCCUCCAGGCACAACAGGGGAGAGGACGUUCAGUGGGCUUCAACUUGACCCAGGCCUUCUCCCCUUCAGGCUCAGCUCUUGCCAGGCCAAAUUGAGACAUGUCUGACACCAGCGAGAGUGGUGCAGGUCUAACUCGCUUCCAGGCUGAAGCUUCAGAAAAGGACAGUAGCUCGAUGAUGCAGACCCUGUUGGCAGUGACCCAGAAUGUGGAGGUCCCAGAGACACCGAAGGCCUCAAAGGCACUGGAGGUCUCAGAGGAUGUGAAGGUCUCAAAAGCCUCUGGGGUCUCAAAGGCCACAGAGGUCUCAAAGACCCCAGAGGCUCAGGAGGCACCUGCCACCCAGGCCUCAUCUACUACUCAGCUGACUGAUACCCAGGUUCUGGCAGCUGAAAACAAGAGUCUAGCAGCUGACACCAAGAAACAGAAUGCUGACCCGCAGGCUGUGACAAUGCCUGCCACUGAGACCAAAAAGGUCAGCCAUGUGGCUGAUACGAAGGUCAAUACAAAGGCCCAGGAGACUGAGGCUUCACCCUCUCAGGCCCCAGCAGAUGAA
This 691-nucleotide small RNA is filed under the name Pan troglodytes (chimpanzee). Its description in RNAcentral is "processed transcript". Lineage: Eukaryota; Metazoa; Chordata; Mammalia; Primates; Hominidae. The record is from RNAcentral.